Molecule: ribosomal RNA, 379 nt
Filed under: uncultured soil bacterium
Lineage: Bacteria
Description: bacterial SSU rRNA
Rfam family: Bacterial small subunit ribosomal RNA
Source: RNAcentral
AGGACGAACGCUGGCGGCGUGCUUAACACAUGCAAGUCGAGCGGUAAGGCCUUUCGGGGUACACGAGCGGCGAACGGGUGAGUAACACGUGGGUGAUCUGCCCUGCACUCUGGGAUAAGCCUGGGAAACUGGGUCUAAUACCGGAUAUGACCUGCUCUCGCAUGGGGGGUGGGUGGAAAGAUUUAUCGGUGCAGGAUGGGCCCGCGGCCUAUCAGCUUGUUGGUGGGUAAUGGCCUACCAAGGCGACGACGGGUAGCCGACCUGAGAGGGUGACCGGCCACGACUGGGACUGAGACACGGCCCAGACUCCUACGGGAGCAGCAGUGGGAAUAUUGCACAAUGGGACGAAAGCCUGAUGCAGCGACGCGCGUGAGGAUGA